This is a long non-coding RNA of Alosa alosa (allis shad), 619 nucleotides long. RefSeq lists it as uncharacterized. Lineage: Eukaryota; Metazoa; Chordata; Actinopteri; Clupeiformes; Clupeidae. The record is from RefSeq and is a predicted model, not a curated record. The transcript has 4 exons.
AAUCAGAAUCAGAGUCAGUCUGCAGGAAGACAGGGUGCUCAGUCAGAGUAUAUGCCUCUGCAAAAAAGAUGUACAGAUGACUAUGAAACCCUCACACCCUUGUAUAUGCCACUGCAGAAAGGUGCUACAGAUGUCUAUGAAACAAUUAAAUCAUCCAAGGACUAUCAAGAAGAUUAUGAGGAGGGAUAUGACGAUGUGGAUGUCACUGAUAUUUGAGAAAAUGAAAAAUAUGUAACUUGAACAGUGAGGGGGAAAGAAAUAGAGGUAAGGACAUAGAAUGUCCACUGAAUAUUUGAAAGUUGAAUGAUGCAUGGUUCACUGGAUGAGGAAUUAUAAAAGAAGUAUGAUGUAAGUUAUGCCAGUAUCAUAAACAUGCUAAUUACCAACCACUUCGUUCGAAAAUUCUUAAAACAACAAUGUUUUUUAAUACUUCAAAAUAACAUUUGCUAAAUGAACCUAGUGCCUGGUGAGUCAGAGUCAGCCUGGAAGCACCCCAUAGAGCCCAGAGCCUCCAAGUGGUGCAAUCUGUCCCUCCAGUCAUGCAGCCCGAGAAGAGGAGGAUCAGGUGGCCUCAAGCAUGUAAAAUAAUUCAGUGGAAAUGGAUGGAUUCAGUUGCUUC